GGGCAGCUGGAUCCACAGGAGCUCGUGUUCGGGGUCACCGUGGAUGGACUCUGAAUUUUAGGGUCUCCGACAUGGAAAUGGUGCAUUUCAGGUGUUGAAGUCAGCUGAGGCCUUUUUCCGUGCAUCUAAUCUAUCAUGUAACACCGAUUCUGUGUCAUUUUCUAUUGGUGUAAGAAUCAUAUUAAUCUUCCACAUGUUCGUUUUGUAUAUAACAUCAGGACAGAGACCCACACUCAUAUGUCAUUUUCUUGUGCUUAUGUUGCUUCCAUAUUGUCGCAAGUAAGAUAUGUUGCUGAUCCAGGCUCCAGUAGACCCAUUAUUCCUUCAAUGAUGUUCCUCUUCGAUUUGUUUGUGCAGCAUCACCAACUCAACUCCAUGCAUAUGCAGAUGCAGGGGGGAGGAGAGGACCACUACUUUGAUUCUCUGAUUUUUUUUGUGAGAAUUAAGAUGGGUGGCUUCUCGUGUAGAACUCAGUUUACAUAUAUUUUUUAUUUUAUAACUAGACCUAUGCUUUUAUCAGGUUUUCUUAUGAUGUGUUCAUAUUCUGUAG
RNAcentral lists this long non-coding RNA (550 nucleotides) under Triticum aestivum (bread wheat). RNAcentral describes it as "long non-coding RNA (TAES_LNC009083)". The record is from RNAcentral. Lineage: Eukaryota; Viridiplantae; Streptophyta; Magnoliopsida; Poales; Poaceae.